Molecule: ribosomal RNA, 537 nt
Filed under: Epicoccum sp. OUCMBI101238
Lineage: Eukaryota; Fungi; Ascomycota; Dothideomycetes; Pleosporales; Didymellaceae
Description: eukaryotic LSU rRNA
Rfam family: 5.8S ribosomal RNA (bases 165-318)
Source: RNAcentral
CCCAAGGAGUAGGCGUCGGUACCUAGAGUUUGUAGACUUCGGUCUGCUACCUCUUACCCAUGUCUUUUGAGUACCUUCGUUUCCUCGGCGGGUCCGCCCGCCGAUUGGACAACAUUCAAACCCUUUGCAGUUGCAAUCAGCGUCUGAAAAAACAUAAUAGUUACAACUUUCAACAACGGAUCUCUUGGUUCUGGCAUCGAUGAAGAACGCAGCGAAAUGCGAUAAGUAGUGUGAAUUGCAGAAUUCAGUGAAUCAUCGAAUCUUUGAACGCACAUUGCGCCCCUUGGUAUUCCAUGGGGCAUGCCUGUUCGAGCGUCAUUUGUACCUUCAAGCUCUGCUUGGUGUUGGGUGUUUGUCUCGCCUCUGCGUGUAGACUCGCCUUAAAACAAUUGGCAGCCGGCGUAUUGAUUUCGGAGCGCAGUACAUCUCGCGCUUUGCACUCAUAACGACGACGUCCAAAAGUACAUUUUUACACUCUUGACCUCGGAUCAGGUAGGGAUACCCGCUGAACUUAAGCAUAUCAAUAAGCGGGAGGAA